UACGAAGGGGGCUAGCGUUGCUCGGAAUUACUGGGCGUAAAGCGCACGUAGGCGGUCUUUUAAAUCGGGGGUGAAAUCCUGGAGCUCAACUCCAGAACUGCCUUCGAUACUGGAAGACUUGAGUCCGGGAGAGGUGAGUGGAACUGCGAGUGUAGAGGUGAAAUUCGUAGAUAUUCGCAAGAACACCAGUGGCGAAGGCGGCUCACUGGCCCGGUACUGACGCUGAGGUGCGAAAGCGUGGGGAGCAAACAGG
This 253-nucleotide ribosomal RNA is filed under the name uncultured bacterium. RNAcentral's name for it is "partial 16S ribosomal RNA". It matches the Rfam family "Bacterial small subunit ribosomal RNA", at positions 524 to 776 of the family's 1533-position model. The record is from RNAcentral.